GAUGAAGAUGAUGAAAACAGUGAAAA
Molecule: non-coding RNA, 26 nt
Filed under: Rattus norvegicus (Norway rat)
Lineage: Eukaryota; Metazoa; Chordata; Mammalia; Rodentia; Muridae
Source: RNAcentral